This 379-nucleotide ribosomal RNA is filed under the name uncultured eukaryote. RNAcentral describes it as "partial 18S ribosomal RNA". It matches the Rfam family "Eukaryotic small subunit ribosomal RNA", at positions 592 to 975 of the family's 1831-position model. The record is from RNAcentral.
CAAUAGCGUAUAUUAAAGUUGUUGCAGUUAGAACGCUCGUAGUCGGAUUUCGGGGCGGGCCGACCGGUCUGCCGAUGGGUAUGCACUGGUCGGCGCGUCCUUCCUUCCGGAGACCGUCCCUACUCUUAACUGAGCGGGGGCGGGAGACGGGACUUUUACUUUGAAAAAAUCAGAGUGUUUCAAGCAGGCAGCUCGCUCUUGCAUGGAUUAGCAUGGGAUAAUGAAAUAGGACUUUGGUGCUAUUUUGUUGGUUUCGAACACCGAAGUAAUGAUGAGAAGGGACAGUCAGGGGCACUCGUAUUCCGCCGAGAGAGGUGAAAUCCUCAGACCAGCGGAAGACGAACCACUGCGAANGNAUUUGCNAGGGAUGUUUNCACUG